CUUUUUGUACACAGUGUAAUUUUGUAAUUAUAGGCUGAGCUUAUGGGAUAAUUCUAGAUCAUAUCGUGAAAUAUACAUGCUGCAUACUGUAAAUUAUUUUGACCUGCUGUACAUAUUUCAAUGCUGAAACUGUUUAUUUACCUGUUGUGCACAGUUCAGUGCUGAGAAAUAUAGUAUAAUAGUGAUUGAUACAAAGUGAAGUGGAUAUGGCAUACGGUCACCUACUGUUCACAGUGUAUUGCUUGAAUCAUAUGAACUGUAUGCUUACCAGGUAUACACAGUGUAAUGUUAUACAACGUGGUCAUCUGGUGUACACAGUGUAAUACUGUGCAUAAUAGUUAGCUGUGUACACAGUACAAUGUCAUACAACAUUGUUCCCUGGUAUUCAUAGUGUAAUGGUAUACAACAUGGUUAUCUGGUGUACACAAUGUGGUACUGUGCAAAAUGGUUACAUGGUAUACACAGUAUAUAUUUAACAAGGCACCAAAUGUACACAGUGUAACACCAAUAAAGCUUGUAAACCUGUUGUACACUGUUGUGCCAAAAGUUCCCAGAGAAAUUGAGAGGAUGGCACUGUAAGGCUUUGUCAUAAAAUCAUGAUCAUGUGAAAUGAUAAUUUUUGUGUGUGUCAGAAUCAUGACGUGACUGUAAAUUACAUUUAGCAUUCCAUUGAAUAUUUAUCUACCUUCAAGUUAUGUUAUACUACUGGGUUUUAUUUAUCAGAGUUCUUUACUUAUAUAGUUGAAUUAUGAAACAAUCACUCUAAUUUGUAGAAUGUUGUGAAAUUUGACACAGAUAUUUUUUAAUUUGUUGAGACUAAAAUUGAUAGUUUGUGGGUACAGUUUGAAAUUAUAACAUUUAAGUUGUAUUAUAUGUAAGGGAAUUAUGAAAUUGAAAAAAAUGAGAUCAAAUUAAAGAAUGAUUUAUUCAUAUUUAGGAUGUUGAUAUUCAAAAGAAAGAGAGUAAAAUUCUGAGAUAAAGGUGCGAAGAAAUGUAAGCUUUGCCAAUUUGAAAUUAAACCUUUCAGUUACACAUUAAAGUUAUACCUAAAUUGUAUAAGUUCUGUUGUAACAAAUCACCAAGCGAGAAGAUUGCUAAUAUGCCAUGUUUGCAACAAAACAAGUCAUUUAUGAAAUAAAUUGAAUGUUGGAAGCUUAUUUCCUACAUAUAUUUGGCGGCAAUGGGAAAAAAUGAUACUAAGAUGUGAUUUGUAUUACACAUAAUGAUAUUGUAUAUCUGUAAAACUGUGAUAAGUAAAACCCUGUAUUUGUUUUAUAUCGCUGCUCACCUCAGUAUGUUUUACUCAAGUUGAUAUUUUUGGUCUAGUUUUUCAUAAUUUAAAGUUUAUUUUUAAAUUUUAUCGAGCGGAUGUAUUAUCUUUAAGUGAUAUUACCUUUGUUUCUGUUUUUGUUAACAUUUUAAUUUAUGACAUAAGUUAUUAAAAUACUGUUUUAUGAAGAAUAUAUUCGCUAAAAAUGUUUGAUUUUUAAAUUAAUUGUUCUUAACAAUAAUAAAAUGUAAAGAUUGACUUUACUGCUGAGUCUUAGCAUAACAUCUGCUAUUUAAAAAAGUUUUUAUCGUCACAAUAAACCGUGAAAUUAAUAUGUUAAAUGAUAGAAAUAUAUUGACAAACUAAAUAAAAAAAUAAGUUUAAAAGAAUGCUUGCAAACAAUUAACAGGAUUUUAUGUGAAAGUCAAUAUUUGUACAUGUAUUUAGACUUUGUUAGGUAGACAAAUGUGAAGAAUUUCUAUUUAAUAGGGAGUAUUGUAUGGCUAUGUAGAAUUAUCACCAACAUGUUGUAUAUGUUGUUUAUUUAUAUCUGUAUAUAUGUAUGUCAAUGUUUUUGUUAUUUUCCACUCAUCUUCCUCAAACAUUUAUUCAGAAAGAUUUAUGUUUUACAUUUUUUCCUUUAUUAUAUAUAUUCUGUGAUAAAACCCCCAUGAUGUUUUAUAUAUAUAGUAAAAUGCCAUACAUGAUCAAUUCAUGUCAAUAUAUACAUACAUGUAUAUGUCAUAGCUAUAUGUUAAUAAAUGUUAAUCAGUUA
This is a long non-coding RNA of Ruditapes philippinarum (Manila clam), 2045 nucleotides long. RefSeq lists it as uncharacterized. The record is from RefSeq and is a predicted model, not a curated record. NCBI's taxonomy places the organism in Eukaryota, Metazoa, Mollusca, Bivalvia, Venerida, Veneridae. The transcript has 2 exons.